AAGUCGUAACAAGGUUUUCCUUCCGGUUAAAGCUAUUAACCUAUUGAAGCCUGACGUGGGGCGACUAUAAAGAUAACCAUGGAGUUCGAUCUUCGGAUUGGACAACACCGCUGAAAUGCUGUGAUCAACUUAUUGUUGUACCAGCAGCCCUCUUAUGGGGGCCCACAGAUCAAGCUGCGGUGAUCCUACCUAGAUUAUUUAGGUAGGACUAUAAUAUGACCGGUCUCACCUGAGAUGGUUGAGAGAACAUGUUCCGUAGGUGAACCUGCGGAAGGAUCAUUACCGAGUUAGGGUCUUAUAGGCCCGACCUCCAACCCUUUGUUUACUAUACCAUGUUGCUUUGGUAGGCCCGUCUUUCGGGGCCACCGGGGGCUUCCAUACCCUUGGUCAGUGCCUGCCAAUAGCCUUAUUAAAUUCUUUCAUAAUUAUGUUGUCUGAGUAUAAAUAUAAAUCGUUAAAA
This 460-nucleotide unclassified non-coding RNA is filed under the name plant metagenome. Its description in RNAcentral is "partial contains small subunit ribosomal RNA and internal transcribed spacer 1". The record is from RNAcentral.